Molecule: ribosomal RNA, 253 nt
Filed under: uncultured bacterium
Lineage: Bacteria
Description: partial 16S ribosomal RNA
Rfam family: Bacterial small subunit ribosomal RNA
Source: RNAcentral
UACGUAGGCAGCAAGCGUUGUUCGGAUUCACUGGGCGUAAAGGGUGCGUAGGCGGUCGGGUAAGUCUGAUGUGAAAUCUCACAGCUUAACUGUGAAACUGCAUUGGAUACUAUCCGGCUCGAGGAAUGGAGGGGAGACUGGAAUACUUGGUGUAGCAGUGAAAUGCGUAGAUAUCAAGUGGAACACCAGUGGCGAAGGCGAGUCUCUGGACAUUUCCUGACGCUGAGGCACGAAAGCCAGGGGAGCAAACGGG